GUGAUUUAUCGAUAAGGACAGACUGCUAGAUGAUAAUACUUGAAAGUAACUCUGCAAUACUGGGUUUGAUGGGUAGGAAGGUACUCCCUCCCUGAGAAAGGCAGGAGGAGGGACUCAGUCAGCCUGUGGGGGAGAGGGUUGGGGGGUGGGUGUUGAAACAGGUGCCAGACAAUCCCUGGUAUCAGGGAGGCCAACCUGGAGGAGGAGGGGGAGAUGUCUUGAGUUGAAAGGGCACUGGAUGGUUGGCAAGAUUCUAGGUGCAUCCCAGGGACCAGAGACCUUGGAAAGGUUAAUGGCGUUACAAAGAAUGAAAACAAGGGACAAAAUUGUGUUUUCCGGAGUACUUGCAGGGCAGAAUCCCCAGCCCCAGCAGGGUGACAGUCAGAGACUCAGUUUUAAGGCAACGAAGAAGUAAAACUUAGCCUGACCUGGAUCUUACUGGCAAGAAAACAGAAACUGAGUAAUUAGAACCACUGGGCAGUCAGAGCCUGGCCAAAAAAGAGAGAAACGGGAGGAUUGGGUGUCCAGCACCCAGAGUGUUAAAAGUCAGGUGACCUUCCUUUCUUUUGCCUUUGCAGGUUUGAAGCAGGAAGAAAAAUGAUAGAAACUGGGCUUCUUGUCCUGGGCUUGAAAAAGUAACUCAGUAUGCUGGUGCGGUAUUAUUGGGGUAACUUUUACAUAAAAAAAAAAAGUACUGAUUUUAAAUGUUUAUCAGAUUUUUUUAAGCAAAAUAACAAUCUACAAAGGAAUUCCAGCAUUUUCCAGAUCGUACGUAAUUCGAAGUCGUACUUACGCUGACGCAGUCUGAAGACAGUUGAAAUACUCAUUCAGAAAAUUCAGACUCUUGAGAACCUUUAAUGAAUGAAAAAAGAGCUCUGUUUGGCCUACAUUAUUCUGGUUGACUAUCUAAAUUGAUCAAAUGCAUCCAUCAUCACUCAACUUUAUACCUCACUCUGCAGCUUGUGUACAAACAAAAUCCUCCUAGUGGUUGCUCUCAUUGCAGGCAAUGAGCUCCAAAAACCAACCGUAGAGUCGUGCAGUCAGAUCUUUCUAAUUUAAUACCUGCAGGCCUUCUAAAACUGCAGGCAAAUUUAAAUCUAAAGUUAACACAUAGCUCCCGGUAGACCUCAAUUACUAGACCCGUGUGCGUGUGUGUGCACGCACACGCACGCUUUUCUGCAAUUUAUUACAAGAAGUACAUACAAUGUACCUUGCAUAAAAUUUCCCUGAAAACUAUACAUCUGAUUCAUAAUUAGUUUUCCCUCAUAAACCGGGCUGUAGAUUAAUCUAAUUACGUUGCCUACAUUCGAAUUUUAGCUUUUAUUUGCUUCUGUUUGCUUUACUCCUAAGUCUCAAACACAUUUGUCAGCUUUAUCUGCUGUGGGCAGGGAACGCUAGAGGCCAUCACUCAGUGGUUUAGAGCACAAGAGAAACCAAGCUGAAGCUUCCUAAUGUAGAUGAGAACAACAAAAUCAGAGAAAGGGCCUUCUGUUCAUGAGAAGACAUUUAUUUGAACUUCCUUAGCACUCCUGAGGUCAAUAUUUUUUCUAGGAAAUUAUAGGAAGGCUCAAGGGAAAGCUAAUGCACUAUGUUCUAAAGUGGACGAUAUGCUCCAGAGAAUCAUUUCUUCCUCAAUUGAAGUUCCUGUAAAGGAUAUCUUUUCCUUAACUUUCAUGUAGGCAGGCAGGUCGUAUGCUGGUCACAUCCCAGAAAAUAUCAGCGGAGCCAGGUAAAUUCCACCGUUAAUUAAUUAUACUUAUUUGGUGACUCACAAUACUCAUAUUAAAGACAAGCCGAAUCAGGCCCUUCCAUGGCUCUAUUAACCAUGCUUUUGAUAAGUUCCUAUGCUCCGGAAGACCUUGACUCUUAUUGUUGCCCAUAUAUCCAACGUCAUGUCCUGGUCCGCUUCCUCCAGCUUGGGCCCUCUCCAUUUUUGUACCCUGUGAUGCCUCCCUGGACAUGGAUGGAAUGAGCCAGACCUUUGGUCUUAACUUUUGACUGCCACCCCCUGACGUGCUAUGCGUGGGCUUUUUUCUUUUCCCUUCCCCACUACUGGCUCCUGUUUUACUGCCAGCAUACAAUGCAGUCAAUAUCAUUUGGGGCUGUCCGAACUCUUCACGGCAACCAAAGCUAUCCUUGUCUGAAAACUAAAGCAAGAUGUAGCUUGAAACAACCCUAUGCCACCAAAGUCAAGUUCGGGUAGAGGGAAGAAAAGCAGGAACGACAUCCCCAAAUGAUGGCAUGAUACCCAGGACAGUCAGAUGUUUCUUCUGGGAGGGAGUAGAGCAACACUCCCUCCUUUUUCCUAGAAACCAUGGUAUAUGAGGCAAUGUAGGGAUGAAUCUGGAUACCCUACAGCAGUCACUAAACGGCUCACACCUUGCAAUGACUGGUGAUGCCUGAAGCCCCUUGAAGGCGUCACCAAUGCAGCCCGGCAUCACCAACGCGUCCUGCGCAAGGCGGCACCCAGUAGGGCCUCAGUAAGCAUUUGGUUACUUAGUCCUUUCCUCUAGAAGAGCCGCCAUUACCAAUGGACAUAUUCAUGAUUUUUCGGUUUGAUUUCUUUUGUGAGUUGUUUGGAAAUAAACUUUAUUAUUUUGUUUUUCUUAUUGGAAAAGUAAUAUGUAGUCAUUACAGUACAUUUGAAAAGUAUAUUCAUGCUAAGGUACAUCCCUGUGUAUUACUCACUUUGCCACUAGAGUAUCAUCCACAACUUGCUGUGUCAUUAAAUGUUCUCCUACAGCGUGGCUAGAAGCUGCAUAGUAUUCCGUCACUUGAGCUAUCACUAGUAUUUUAUUCAGUUGCAAGUAGAACAGAGUAUGGCUCAGAAUAAUGGCUUCCUAUAUAUUUUUCAAUGAAUAAGUGAAUUUAACAGACAUUUAGUUUUUCUCCACUUUUCUCUAGUAAACAUAACACUUCCGUGAACACGUUUGUGGUUGAAUCCUUGUGCGCGCAUGUCAGUCUUCCAGGGGAUGAAUGCCUGAAGGUUAAAAACGCUGGCCGAAGAGUACAAAUCUGCUGGGUUUUAAUCCCAUCGUUCUAAAAUUCUCAAGACGGCGAAGGCCCCACAACACAGAAACAAUCCACAUUAUUCAAAGGUGACAACUGUUUCCAUCCCUCUGCUUAGCCUUACAAUUGGAAACAAAAAAAAAAUCUAGCUUUCUCUCUUCUUUCUCCACGAGAAGAGCCUAGACCUAAGUGAUUAGGGCCUAUGAUUACAAGGACUUUAGGCGUGACACAAAAGGGGGUCAGGAAAAAUACCCUUUCGUUUGAUUCACCAGGGACCAACUAGGAAUAAUUACAGGCUGUGCAGUACCAUCCAGCCACGUAAGUGACUACAUUGGACGCUAAUGAGUGUUCUGUGUCCUUCCAAUCUGGCCAUAUGGCCUGUGCUUCCUUUGAGCAAGUGCCAUGAAGGAUCAACUCCAGCCGCAAGGACGGUGCCAUCUGAUGAUCCACAGGUUUCCAGGAACUGAAGAACAUCACCUGCUUCAUCUGCCUGCCUUCAGACAGGACGACACUUAAAAUUUGCUGAACAGGGCGUAUCCUGCUGUAAAACGCUUUCCUGCAAGGAAUUGAAAGAUGAUAUGCAAAUCAGUUCAAGGGUGAAGCAUUCAGACUCUGCAAGAGAAAAAUCUCACCGUGUGAAAAAAUGCACCUCAACAUCCAUGGAAAGGAAGCCCACAGCCCGUUAGAGUUUCCGGUGAUCUGUGCAGUAACAUGUCAAUGAAGCGCAAGAAUUGCUUCAUAUUCAGUGAGUUCAAAGUUCUCCGCAUCAUAGCAAAACUACACCUGAAAAUGUCCUCCAGAAUGAUGAACGAAUGCCUUUCAAAUUGUUUUCUCACAAGGCUCAUCAAUAAAGUAAUUAUGGAAACCGCA
Long non-coding RNA from Herpailurus yagouaroundi (jaguarundi), 3879 nucleotides. RefSeq lists it as uncharacterized. Lineage: Eukaryota; Metazoa; Chordata; Mammalia; Carnivora; Felidae. The record is from RefSeq and is a predicted model, not a curated record. The transcript is spliced from 2 exons.